AAGGCGUUGUACGUCGGUGACACCGCGGGGACGAACGACACGGUGACGGUGACGGUGACGGCGGCGGGGGGUGGCACCGAGGAGAGCGGCACGGACGCGCCACCGGCGAGGAGGGAGAGGAAUGUCACGGGAAGAACUGAGGAGGGAAAUGCCACCACGGUGGGAAGUGUCACCAGGGCCACCACGGUGGGAAGUGUCACCGGGGCCACCAUCGUGGGAAGUGUCACCGGGGCCACCACGGUGGGAAAUGUCACCAGGGCCAUCACCAGUGGCAGCGUCAUGGGAAGGAACGGCACGGUCACCGCGGUGGUCAGCGCCAACACGGACCAUGAUGUUGUCACCAGCUCUGACCAUGACGUGGUCACCACCACAGAGAGGGACAUGAUGGUCAGUGCCAACACGGACCAUGAUGUGGUCACCAGCACUGACCAUGACGUGGUCACCAGCACUGACCAUGAUGUGGCCACCAGCUCGGACCAUGACGUGGUCACCACCAUGGACCAUGACGUGGUCACCAGCACAGAGAGGGCCACCAGGGUCAGGGGCAGUGUCCCCAUGGCCACCACCACAGGGGACAACACCACGACGGUGCCACCAGAGCGGCGGGUGAGAAACGUCACGGGCUGGUCCGUGAGGAGCCACAGCGGGGCCACCACCCUGGAGGGUGAGACCGCAGCCGUGGACGGUGACACCGCGGUCACUCCCUCAGACCUCGCGGAGGGAGAGACCACGGCCAUGGAGGGUGAGAACGAGGUCACCGAGGGUGACACCGAGGCCACCCCCAUAGAAGGUGACACCGAGGCCACCCCCAUGGAAGGUGACACUGAGGCCACACCGGUGGCCACCACAGUAAGGAACACCAGGGCCACCACCGUGGAAAGUGACACCACGGCCACCACCCUGGAGAGCCACACCCUGUCCACCCUCCCCAUUGUCCCUGCUGACGUCACCUCAACGCCAGCCCCGCCCAAUGCCACCAACACCACCCUGGAUGUCACCGAGACCACGGCGGUGACGCCCCAGGCCCCGCCCAAUGCCACCGAAGCCACCGGGGCGCUGGGCCACGGCUCUGCCGGGACCACCGGGGACGUUCUGAGCAGCACGGCCACCUCCGCUGUGGCCACCGUGGCCACCAUCUGCCUCUUCCUCCCACACGGCUCCAGCCCCCCGGCCAGUGGGUGUCCUGGGGGGGUCACGGGGUUCAGGGUGGGGGUCUCCUGGGGUGG
This 1226-nucleotide long non-coding RNA is filed under the name Parus major (Great Tit). Its description in RNAcentral is "lncRNA (ENSPMJG00000015994.1)". Lineage: Eukaryota; Metazoa; Chordata; Aves; Passeriformes; Paridae. The record is from RNAcentral.